RNAcentral lists this unclassified non-coding RNA (3098 nucleotides) under Rhagoletis pomonella (apple maggot). RNAcentral describes it as "dynamin-1-like protein, transcript variant X2". The record is from RNAcentral. Lineage: Eukaryota; Metazoa; Arthropoda; Insecta; Diptera; Tephritidae.
AACUGUCAGUUCAGUUUUCCACCGAGUAGACAGCCCAAAGGUAUAAAGAAUUGUGCGAAAACUGUAUUUUAUAUGCUGCAAAUUGAACAAAGGUGCUAAAUAAAGCUGGAAAAACAAUAAGCAGCCUUUAUAUUAAUGAAAUUUAAAUUAAAUUCUUAGCUAGUGUUGUGUCGCGAUUGUCUUUGCCAUUAUGGAAGCUCUCAUUCCGGUUAUAAAUAAAUUGCAAGAUGUCUUCAACACUGUUGGCUCGGAUUCCAUACAAUUGCCACAGAUUGUAGUACUUGGGAGUCAGAGUUCCGGCAAGAGUUCGGUCAUUGAAAGUUUAGUAGGCCGCUCCUUUUUACCACGCGGUACUGGUAUUGUGACACGUCGUCCGUUAAUUUUGCAGCUUAUUCAUUGUCCAUUAGACGAUAGGGAGCACCGAUCAGCGGAAAAUGGCACAGUCAACGUUGAUGAGUGGGGCAAAUUUUUGCAUACUAAAAAGAUAUUUACGGAUUUUAAUCAGAUUCGAAAUGAAAUCGAGGAAGAGACAGAUCGUGCUGCCGGCUCCAAUAAAGGCAUUUGCCCAGAACCUAUCAACUUGAAAAUAUACUCAACACGCGUUGUAAAUCUAACGCUGGUUGAUUUGCCAGGUAUCACCAAAGUGCCCGUUGGUGAUCAACCGGAAGAUAUUGAAGCACAAAUUAAAGAAUUGGUUUUGAAAUACAUCGAUAAUCCCAAUUCCAUAAUUUUGGCCGUAACCGCAGCCAACACUGAUAUGGCAACAAGUGAAGCCUUAAAAUUGGCUAAAAAAUGUGACCCUGAUGGUCGACGCACCUUGGCUGUGGUAACAAAACUCGAUCUCAUGGAUGCGGGUACUGAUGCCAUUGAUAUAUUGUGUGGUCGUGUGAUACCGGUGAAACUGGGUAUUAUUGGUGUCGUAAAUCGCUCGCAACAAGACAUUAUUGAUAAGAAGCAAAUUGACGACCAACUCAAGGAUGAAGCUGCAUUCUUGCAAAGAAAAUAUCCUACACUAGCAACGCGCAAUGGCACUCCGUACUUGGCAAAGACGUUAAACCGCUUACUCAUGCACCACAUACGCGAUUGCUUACCAGAUUUAAAAACACGAGUCAACGUAAUGUCAUCACAAUUCCAAUCAUUACUUCACUCAUAUGGCGAAGACGUGUCGGACAAGAGCCAAACGCUGUUGCAAAUCAUAACUAAAUUUGCUAGUGCAUACUGCUCCACAAUCGAGGGUACAGCACGAAACAUCGAAACAACAGAAUUAUGUGGCGGUGCACGCAUUUGCUAUAUAUUCCAUGAGACAUUCGGUCGCACUCUCGAUUCCAUACACCCGCUGUCUGGUUUGAGUAAAAUGGAUAUAUUGACGGCUAUACGCAAUGCGACUGGACCGCGGCCUGCGCUCUUUGUGCCGGAAGUAUCGUUUGAAUUGUUGGUAAAACGUCAAAUACGGCGCUUGGAGGAACCUUCCCUGCGUUGUGUAGAGUUGAUACACGAGGAAAUGCAGCGCAUAGUGCAACAUUGUGGUAAUGAAGUGCAACAGGAAAUGUUACGCUUCCCGAAGUUACAUGAAAAAAUUGUUGACGUUGUUACCCAGCUCCUGCGUCGACGCUUACCAGCCACAAAUGUUAUGGUAGAACAUUUGGUGGCUAUUGAGUUGGCAUAUAUAAACACCAAACAUCCAGACUUUCAUAAGGAUGCCGCGCUUGUACCCAGCUUACUGAAAGCGGAUCAUAUUAUUGAACCAUUCAACAAUUUGAGUGCACAAUUGCAAAGACGCACGAAUACUCCGCGUAAUUCUAACUCAUCGCCUCAGGUGUCAGCAACACAGCAGCAACAACAACAACAGCAGCAGCAACAGCAACAACAGCAACAUCAGCAACAACAACUUCAAAAUGAUACUCAAGAACAAAACCAUAUUGGUGAGAAUGCUGUCGGCCACAGCUGGCUAGCAACUAUUUUGCCUCCAGCACCAUCGACAUCGCCAGCCACACGUGCUCUGGAAAGUCAGGAUAACUCUGCAAGCAAUACACCAUUACAUAAUAAUAUUCAAAGCCCAAUCAAACCGGUUAACUUGUUGCCCGAUAUGCCGGCCCAUCAUGGUUCAAGACGUUUAACUGAUAAGGAACAAAAUGAUUGUGAUGUUAUUGAACGCUUAAUUAAGUCAUAUUUCUACAUUGUGCGCAAAUCCAUACAGGAUUCUGUACCAAAAGCUAUAAUGCAUUUCCUAGUUAAUUACGUUAAAGAUAACUUGCAGAGUGAGCUAGUCACACAUUUGUACAAGUCGGAAAAGGCCGAAACUUUACUCGAUGAAUCGGAUCACAUUGCAGUACGACGAAAAGAGGCGGCUGAUAUGUUAAAGGCGCUCACCAGGGCAAAUCAUAUAAUAAGUGAAAUCCGCGAAACGCACAUGUGGUAAAGAUGAUAAAUGCGAAUUUUUGUGGUAUAAAACGUAUUUAAAAUACAAGUCUUCGUUGUUUUUACAAUGCAAAAAAAAGAGAAACACCAGUAUGAAAAAAUUUCAAUAAUAAAAUAUAUUUGAACUAUUCUUGCAACGUCUAAGUUGUUAAAUUUACGAAAUUGUACUCUUAUGUUAGAUCUGUCAAUCGAUUUUGUAACCGAAGAGACUUGAGAAAGUAAAUGGGAAUGUUUUUAAAAACUCCACUUAAUGCACAGUUGAGAGUAAUUGAAUAUUAAAUGAUAAACACAGCAUACAUUUUGCAUUUAAUGUAUUUCGGUUAUCAAAAAUAUAUUAAAUAAUUUAGCAUCAAAAUUUUCCUUUUGAUUUAAAUGAAAUGAUCUAUAAAUUAUUGCAUGUUACCAGUCGAAAGUUAUUUUUUAUGCUGUGAAUGAUUAAAUAUGUAUCAAUAUUUGUUCGUUGCGUUUCUUGUUGUAUAGGAUUAAUUGUCUGAAAAAAUAGUAUUGUUAAAAAUUUUUUCAUACAAUAUUUCAUUUGGCACUUAUAAGCAAAUGCAUCUAGCGAAUUCAGUUUUUAGAGCAAAAUAAUGCAACUACUUAUGCGCUAUUAUAUACUUGUAUAACAGUGAAUAUAAAAUAACAUGAUUUCGCGUUGAAAAAAAUAAAAAUGAAAACGGAAA